UACGAAGGGGGCUAGCGUUGUUCGGAUUUACUGGGCGUAAAGCGCGUGUAGGCGGACUUGUAAGUUGGGGGUGAAAUCCCGAGGCUCAACCUCGGAACUGCCUCCAAAACUACAAGUCUGGAGCAAGAUAGAGGCAAGUGGAAUUGCGAGUGUAGAGGUGAAAUUCGUAGAUAUUCGCAGGAACACCAGUGGCGAAGGCGACUUGCUGAAUCUUUGCUGACGCUGAGACGCGAAAGCGUGGGGAGCAAACAGG
RNAcentral lists this ribosomal RNA (253 nucleotides) under uncultured bacterium. RNAcentral describes it as "partial 16S ribosomal RNA". It matches the Rfam family "Bacterial small subunit ribosomal RNA", at positions 524 to 776 of the family's 1533-position model. The record is from RNAcentral.